CAGUAGCCGCGGUAAUACGUAGGUGGCAAGCGUUGUCCGGAAUUAUUGGGCGUAAAGGGCUCGCAGGCGGUUUCUUAAGUCUGAUGUGAAAGCCCCCGGCUCAACCGGGGAGGGUCAUUGGAAACUGGGAAACUUGAGUGCAGAAGAGGAGAGUGGAAUUCUACGUGUAGCGGUGAAAUGCGUAGAGAUGUGGAGGAACACCAGUGGCGAAGGCGACUCUCUGGUCUGUAACUGACGCUGAGGAGCGAAAGCGUGGGGAGCGAACAGGAUUAGAUACCCCUGUAGUCCCUGUCUCUUAUAC
Molecule: ribosomal RNA, 301 nt
Filed under: uncultured bacterium
Lineage: Bacteria
Description: partial 16S ribosomal RNA
Rfam family: Bacterial small subunit ribosomal RNA
Source: RNAcentral